CUACUGGAGCAGAUGAAUCUAUUCACACCUCUGAUCCUAUGAUAAAAGGGGUCCCGGAUCGUGAUCUAUGGAUUAGAUCGUCCCAAGGACAAGCCAAAAUGGACAGACUACUGUGCACACUAUAUCUCUCUCCGUAUAUUCUCUGUAUUUCUAAUGAUUCAUUACGAGAGAGAGUCUCAUCCUUUAUAUAGGAAGGAAUGAGAAGUUUGGAUGAGAUUGGAUGAGACCAUAUCAUCCGAUCACAUCCCUAUCUCCCAUCAAAAA
Molecule: long non-coding RNA, 264 nt
Organism: Magnolia sinica
Lineage: Eukaryota; Viridiplantae; Streptophyta; Magnoliopsida; Magnoliales; Magnoliaceae
Exons: 2
Source: RefSeq, a predicted model, not a curated record